GACGAACGCUGGCGGCGUGCCUAAUACAUGCAAGUAGAACGCUGAAGGAGGAGCUUGCUUCUCUGGAUGAGUUGCGAACGGGUGAGUAACGCGUAGGUAACCUGCCUGGUAGCGGGGGAUAACUAUUGGAAACGAUAGCUAAUACCGCAUAAGAACAGUUGUUGCAUGACAGCUGUUUAAAAGGUGCAAUUGCAUCACUACCAGAUGGACCUGCGUUGUAUUAGCUAGUUGGUGGGGUAACGGCUCACCAAGGCAACGAUACAUAGCCGACCUGAGAGGGUGAUCGGCCACACUGGGACUGAGACACGGCCCAGACUCCUACGGGAGGCAGCAGUAGGGAAUCUUCGGCAAUGGACGGAAGUCUGACCGAGCAACGCCGCGUGAGUGAAGAAGGUUUUCGGAUCGUAAAGCUCUGUUGUAAGAGAAGAACGAGUGUGAGAGUGGAAAGUUCACACUGUGACGGUAUCUUACCAGAAAGGGACGGCUAACUACGUGCCAGCAGCCGCGGUAAUACGUAGGUCCCGAGCGUUGUCCGGAUUUAUUGGGCGUAAAGCGAGCGCAGGCGGUUAGAUAAGUCUGAAGUUAAAGGCUGUGGCUUAACCAUAGUACGCUUUGGAAACUGUUUAACUUGAGUGCAAGAGGGGAGAGUGGAAUUCCAUGUGUAGCGGUGAAAUGCGUAGAUAUAUGGAGGAACACCGGUGGCGAAAGCGGCUCUCUGGCUUGUAACUGACGCUGAGGCUCGAAAGCGUGGGGAGCAAACAGG
Molecule: ribosomal RNA, 763 nt
Filed under: uncultured Streptococcus sp.
Lineage: Bacteria; Bacillati; Bacillota; Bacilli; Lactobacillales; Streptococcaceae
Description: bacterial SSU rRNA
Rfam family: Bacterial small subunit ribosomal RNA
Source: RNAcentral